This 253-nucleotide ribosomal RNA is filed under the name uncultured bacterium. Its description in RNAcentral is "partial 16S ribosomal RNA". It matches the Rfam family "Bacterial small subunit ribosomal RNA", at positions 524 to 776 of the family's 1533-position model. The record is from RNAcentral.
UACGAAGGGGGCUAGCGUUGUUCGGAAUUACUGGGCGUAAAGCGCACGUAGGCGGAUUGUUAAGUCAGGGGUGAAAUCCCGGGGCUCAACCCCGGAACUGCCUUUGAUACUGGCAUUCUCGAAUCCGGAAGAGGUGAGUGGAAUUCCGAGUGUAGAGGUGAAAUUCGUAGAUAUUCGGAGGAACACCAGUGGCGAAGGCGGCUCACUGGUCCGGAACUGACGCUGAGGUGCGAAAGCGUGGGGAGCAAACAGG